Molecule: RNA transcript, 652 nt
Organism: Musa acuminata AAA Group (dessert banana)
Lineage: Eukaryota; Viridiplantae; Streptophyta; Magnoliopsida; Zingiberales; Musaceae
Gene name: ribosomal protein L33 pseudogene
Source: RefSeq, marked validated
UCAAAAUGGUACGCACAAAAAUCCAACCCGACUCCAGACGCACCACGACGACGCCCUAGCCUCGUUCCGUUCCUCCCCUGCUGACGCCGCCGCCGCCCGAUCCCUUUCACCGCUCAUCUUUGCCGUUGCCGCAGGCGGAGCCGCCGCUUCCCUGAUACAUUUUCAGAAUAGAUGGGUAAGGCAAAGCGUGGAUCAAUAUUUAUUAGGUUGGUCUCAGCUGCUGGAACUGGAUUUUUUUAUGUUAAGCGAAAGAAUCCUGGGAAGAUGACAGAAAAACUCGAGUUCCGCAAGUAUGAUCCGCGAGUGAACAAGCAUGUUCUCUUUACAGAAGCAAAGAUGAAGUGAGGUCCUACUUUUCUCUUGAUUUUCUGUAAGUGGCACUAUAUGCUCUGGCUGAAUUGCUAAAGACGUGGUGAUCUAAAAUAAUAUUUCUGUGAUGUUAGUUACCUUUGUCCGUCGAUCUUUGCUGGCACAAGAAAAACUCAAGUUCCACAAGUUUGUGCCUUCUGAACUAACUGUUUCUCAUUACAAAGGCAAAAGACGAAGUGAGGUCCUAAUUUUCUCUUUCUAUACAUAGUGGCAAUAAUUGUUAUGUGGAAUUUCUAUAAACAUGUGAUGCUCUAAUAUAAUACCUUUCAAUUUAAGUUGCUCA